UACGAGGGGUCCUAGCGUUGUUCGGAAUUACUGGGCGUAAAGCGCACGUAGGCGGAUCAGAAAGUCAGAGGUGAAAUCCCAGGGCUCAACCUUGGAACUGCCUUUGAAACUCCUGGUCUUGAGGUCGAGAGAGGUGAGUGGAAUUCCGAGUGUAGAGGUGAAAUUCGUAGAUAUUCGGAGGAACACCAGUGGCGAAGGCGGCUCACUGGCUCGAUACUGACGCUGAGGUGCGAAAGCGUGGGGAGCAAACAGG
This 253-nucleotide ribosomal RNA is filed under the name uncultured bacterium. RNAcentral describes it as "partial 16S ribosomal RNA". It matches the Rfam family "Bacterial small subunit ribosomal RNA", at positions 524 to 776 of the family's 1533-position model. The record is from RNAcentral.